CUACACAAUGCCUGAUUUAGGGUGGAACUUGUCUGCAGUGGCUGACAAAAGAGAACCCCCAGCUAAAGCAUUGUGUUAAGGUUCUGAUUAUUUACCAUUCAUGGCCGCUCAUCUGUUAAUACCUACAACAAUAUUAAAGAAAUUGAGCCUGCAUUGGAGAUGAG
Long non-coding RNA from Dermochelys coriacea (leatherback sea turtle), 164 nucleotides. RefSeq lists it as uncharacterized. NCBI's taxonomy places the organism in Eukaryota, Metazoa, Chordata, Testudines, Dermochelyidae. The transcript has 3 exons. The record is from RefSeq and is a predicted model, not a curated record.